RNAcentral lists this ribosomal RNA (535 nucleotides) under uncultured bacterium. RNAcentral describes it as "bacterial SSU rRNA". It matches the Rfam family "Bacterial small subunit ribosomal RNA", at positions 65 to 581 of the family's 1533-position model. The record is from RNAcentral.
AGCGAACCAAUAAGAAGCUUGCUUUUUGUUGGUUAGCGGCGGACGGGUGAGUAACACGUGGGUAACCUGCCUGUAAGACCGGGAUAACUCCGGGAAACCGGUGCUAAUACCGGAUAGAUUAUCUUUCCGCCUGGAGAGAUAAGGAAAGAUGGCUUUUGCCAUCACUUACAGAUGGGCCCGCGGCGCAUUAGCUAGUUGGUGAGGUAACGGCUCACCAAGGCGACGAUGCGUAGCCGACCUGAGAGGGUGAUCGGCCACACUGGGACUGAGACACGGCCCAGACUCCUACGGGAGGCAGCAGUAGGGAAUCUUCCGCAAUGGACGAAAGUCUGACGGAGCAACGCCGCGUGAGUGAAGAAGGUCUUCGGAUCGUAAAGCUCUGUUGUUAGGGAAGAACAAGUAUCGGAGGAAAUGCCGGUACCUUGACGGUACCUGACGAGAAAGCCACGGCUGACUACGUGCCAGCAGCCGCGGUAAUACGUAGGUGGCAAGCGUUGUCCGGAUUUAUUGGGCGUAAAGCGCGCGCAGGCGGUCC